UACAGAGGGUGCAAGCGUUGUUCGGAAUCACUGGGCUUAAAGGGCGCGUAGGCGGGUGCUCAAGUCCGGGGUGAAAUCCUCCAGCUCAACUGGAGAACUGCCUCGGAUACUGGGUGCCUCGAGGGUGGUAGGGGUAUGCGGAACUAUCGGUGGAGCGGUGAAAUGCGUUGAUAUCGGGAGGAACACCAGUGGCGAAGGCGACUACCUGGCCUGUUCUUGACGCUGAGGCGCGAAAGCUAGGGGAGCAAACGGG
This 253-nucleotide ribosomal RNA is filed under the name uncultured bacterium. RNAcentral describes it as "partial 16S ribosomal RNA". It matches the Rfam family "Bacterial small subunit ribosomal RNA", at positions 524 to 776 of the family's 1533-position model. The record is from RNAcentral.